CCCUUAGAUGUUCUGGGCUGCACGCGUGCUACACUGAUAUUGCCAAUAUGUCAUUCUUAUCCGAAAUGGAUUGGGUAAUCAAGUAAUGAAAUUUCAUGCUUGGAAUCGGUAAUUGCAAUUUUAUCGUGAACGAGGAAUUCCUAGUAAGCACUAGUCAUCAGCUAAUGUUGAAUAUGUCCCUGCCCUUUGUACACACCGCCCGUCGCUACUACUGAUUGGGUGUUCAAGUGAGAUGCUUAGACCCUUGUUGCAUGGUUCAUUAUUGUGCUCCGAAAGGAAAAAGUUUCAAGCUUGAGUGUCUAGAGGAAGUAAAAGUCGUAACA
This 323-nucleotide ribosomal RNA is filed under the name uncultured eukaryote. RNAcentral describes it as "partial 18S ribosomal RNA". It matches the Rfam family "Eukaryotic small subunit ribosomal RNA", at positions 1470 to 1796 of the family's 1831-position model. The record is from RNAcentral.